UGUGUAACGCUAUUUCUUUUUAAAAAAC
RNAcentral lists this non-coding RNA (28 nucleotides) under Mus musculus (house mouse). The record is from RNAcentral. Lineage: Eukaryota; Metazoa; Chordata; Mammalia; Rodentia; Muridae.